RNAcentral lists this ribosomal RNA (423 nucleotides) under uncultured bacterium. RNAcentral's name for it is "bacterial SSU rRNA". It matches the Rfam family "Bacterial small subunit ribosomal RNA", at positions 359 to 773 of the family's 1533-position model. The record is from RNAcentral.
GAAUAUUGGACAAUGGGCGAAAGCCUGAUCCAGCCAUGCCGCGUGUGUGAAGAAGGCCUUUUGGUUGUAAAGCACUUUAAGCGAGGAGGAGGCUACUUAGAUUAAUACUCUAGGAUAGUGGACGUUACUCGCAGAAUAAGCACCGGCUAACUCUGUGCCAGCAGCCGCGGUAAUACGUAGGGUGCAAGCGUUAAUCGGAAUUACUGGGCGUAAAGCGUGCGCAGGCGGUUUUGUAAGACAGAGGUGAAAUCCCCGGGCUCAACCUGGGAACUGCCUUUGUGACUGCAAGGCUAGAGUAUGGGAGAGGAUGGUAGAAUUCCAGGUGUAGCGGUGAAAUGCGUAGAGAUCUGGAGGAAUACCGAUGGCGAAGGCAGCCAUCUGGCGUAAUACUGACGCUGAGGUACGAAAGCAUGGGGAGCAAAC